GCAGCCGCGGUAAUACGGAGGAUGCGAGCGUUAUCCGGAUUUAUUGGGUUUAAAGGGAGCGUAGGUGGCCUGUUAAGCCAGCUGUGAAAUACUGCCGCUCAACGGCAGCCGUGCAGUUGGAACUGUCAGGCUUGAGUGCACAAGAGGAAGGUGGAAUUCAUGGUGUAGCGGUGAAAUGUUUAGAUAUCAUGAAGAACUCCGAUUGCGAAGGCAGCCUUCUGGGGUGCAACUGACACUGAUGCUCGAAAGUGUGGGUAUCGAACAGGAUUAGAUACCCC
RNAcentral lists this ribosomal RNA (278 nucleotides) under uncultured bacterium. RNAcentral describes it as "partial 16S ribosomal RNA". It matches the Rfam family "Bacterial small subunit ribosomal RNA", at positions 511 to 788 of the family's 1533-position model. The record is from RNAcentral.